This 463-nucleotide ribosomal RNA is filed under the name uncultured bacterium. RNAcentral's name for it is "bacterial SSU rRNA". It matches the Rfam family "Bacterial small subunit ribosomal RNA", at positions 331 to 792 of the family's 1533-position model. The record is from RNAcentral.
CCAGACUCCUACGGGAGGCAGCAGUGAGGAAUAUUGGUCAAUGGGCGCGAGCCUGAACCAGCCAAGUCGCGUGAGGGAAGACGGUCCUAUGGAUUGUAAACCUCUUUUGUCGGGGAGCAAAAGACGCCACGCGUGGCGUUCCGAGAGUACCCGAAGAAAAAGCAUCGGCUAACUCCGUGCCAGCAGCCGCGGUAAUACGGAGGAUGCGAGCGUUAUCCGGAUUUAUUGGGUUUAAAGGGUGCGUAGGCGGGCUUUUAAGUCAGCGGUAAAAAUUCGGGGCUCAACCCCGUCCGGCCGUUGAAACUGGGGGCCUUGAGUGGGCGAGAAGAAGGCGGAAUGCGUGGUGUAGCGGUGAAAUGCAUAGAUAUCACGCAGAACCCCGAUUGCGAAGGCAGCCUUCCGGCGCCCUACUGACGCUGAGGCACGAAAGUGCGGGGAUCGAACAGGAUUAGAUACCCUGGUA